RNAcentral lists this ribosomal RNA (253 nucleotides) under uncultured bacterium. Its description in RNAcentral is "partial 16S ribosomal RNA". It matches the Rfam family "Bacterial small subunit ribosomal RNA", at positions 524 to 776 of the family's 1533-position model. The record is from RNAcentral.
UACGGAGGGUGCAAGCGUUGUUCGGAAUCAUUGGGCGUAAAGCGCGCGCAGGCGGUUUGCCAAGUCUGAUGUGAAAGCCCGGGGCUCAACCUCGGAACUGCAUUGGAAACUGGUAGACUUGAGUAUGUGAGGGGUCAGUGGAAUUCCUGGUGUAGGGGUGAAAUCCGUAGAGAUCAGGAGGAACACCGGUGGCGAAGGCGACUGACUGGAACAUAACUGACGCUGAGGCGCGAAAGCGUGGGUAGCAAACAGG